This 249-nucleotide ribosomal RNA is filed under the name Streptomyces sp. Its description in RNAcentral is "partial 16S ribosomal RNA". It matches the Rfam family "Bacterial small subunit ribosomal RNA", at positions 263 to 524 of the family's 1533-position model. The record is from RNAcentral. Lineage: Bacteria; Bacillati; Actinomycetota; Actinomycetes; Kitasatosporales; Streptomycetaceae.
GCUCACCAAGGCGACGACGGGUAGCCGGCCUGAGAGGGCGACCGGCCACACUGGGACUGAGACACGGCCCAGACUCCUACGGGAGGCAGCAGUGGGGAAUAUUGCACAAUGGGCGAAAGCCUGAUGCAGCGACGCCGCGUGAGGGAUGACGGCCUUCGGGUUGUAAACCUCUUUCAGCAGGGAAGAAGCGAAAGUGACGGUACCUGCAGAAGAAGCGCCGGCUAACUACGUGCCAGCAGCCGCGGCCGA